GUCCCCCUCUAAAACCUAGGUGCAUCUUAUAGGGCGAAAAAUACGGUACUUGCUUGCUCUUCGCGAUCCCCCCGCCCUUUGCGUACACCGUGCGCCGUGACAUCACAAGGAGGCACUGCAACGAUAGGGUGAGCCCCAGUGUCCGUCCAGUGCCCACUUUCAUCCCUGAGCCCAGCUGCCCAGAGCACUGAUCCUGAGCCUGCUGGAGUCUUCAGAACUUCUUACAGGCUAUCUUUCUAAAGAUGAGACACAGAUGGAAAUAAUUAUUGAUGAGGAUGAUGAGGAGGAGAUUCAUGACUGGAUUCCACCUACUGACAAACUAGCUUAUGAAAAUCUUUCUAUCACCUAUGAGUACCUGUUGACCCUUUCUUUUACACAAGUGUCAUGUGAGAGACUGCGAGCCACAAUGGGACAAGAACAGCUUGAUGCUCUAAUGAUCAUGUCAGUGGAGUGAGAUCUUCUGGAACAGGUCCAGUUUUCAGAUAUAUUGGAAAUUAUUUGUCAAAGUUCUUCCUUGAUGAGGUGUUUGCUAACCGUUUGAUCAAAUAUUUAGUUUAAAAGUUUUAUACAGAUAUUUAUUUCUCUGGCUUCUGUAUUUUGUGUAUUGUGUCCAUACAAAGUUCAUUUGUUAAAAUUGUAGAUUUUAUUUUUGUUAAACAUCAU
This is a long non-coding RNA of Bufo gargarizans (Asiatic toad), 663 nucleotides long. RefSeq lists it as uncharacterized. Lineage: Eukaryota; Metazoa; Chordata; Amphibia; Anura; Bufonidae. The record is from RefSeq and is a predicted model, not a curated record. The transcript is spliced from 3 exons.